GCUGGCGGCAGGCCUCAAACAUGCAAGUCUAGGGGGUGUAGCAAUACAUCACCGGCGGACGGGUGCGUAACACGUGGGAAUAUACCUUUUGGUUCGGAACAACGCAGGGAAACUCGCGCUAAUACCGAAUGUGCCCUUACGGGGAAAGAUUUAUCGCCAAAGGAUUAGCCCGCGUAGGAUUAGCUAGUUGGUGAGGUAAUGGCUCACCAAGGCUCCGAUCCUUAGCUGUUCUGAGAGGAAGAUCAGCCUCACUGGGACUGAGACACGGCCCAGACUCCUACGGGAGGCAGCAGUUGGGAAUCUUGGACAAUGGGGGAAACCCUGAUCCAGCCAUGCCGCGUGAGUGAUGAAGGCCUUCGGGUUGUAAAGCUCUUUCGACGGGGACGAUAAUGACGGUACCCGUAGAAGAAGCUCCGGCUAACUUCGUGCCAGCAGCCGCGGUAAUACGAAGGGGGCUAGCGUUGUUCGGAAUUACUGGGCGUAAAGCGCGCGCAGGCGGUCUUCCAAGUCAGUGGUGAAAGCCCGGAACUCAACUCCGGAACUGCCAUUGAAACUGUAAGACUUGAGGACGAGAGAGGUGAGUGGAACUCCCAGUGUAGAGGUGAAAUUCGUAGAUAUUGGGAAGAACACCGGUGGCGAAGGCGGCUCACUGGCUCGUAUCUGACGCUCAGGCGCGACAGCGUGGGGA
Molecule: ribosomal RNA, 688 nt
Filed under: uncultured soil bacterium
Lineage: Bacteria
Description: bacterial SSU rRNA
Rfam family: Bacterial small subunit ribosomal RNA
Source: RNAcentral